GAGUUUGAUUCUGGCUCAGAACGAACGCUGGCGGCAGGCCUAACACAUGCAAGUCGAGCGCACCUUCGGGUGAGCGGCGGACGGGUUAGUAACGCGUGGGAACGUGCCCAGAUCUGCGGAAUAGCCACUGGAAACGGUGAGUAAUACCGCAUACGCCCUUCGGGGGAAAGAUUUAUCGGAUUUGGAUCGGCCCGCGUUAGAUUAGGUAGUUGGUGAGGUAACGGCUCACCAAGCCUACGAUCUAUAGCUGGUUUUAGAGGAUGAUCAGCAACACUGGGACUGAGACACGGCCCAGACUCCUACGGGAGGCAGCAGUGGGGAAUCUUGGACAAUGGGCGCAAGCCUGAUCCAGCCAUGCCGCGUGAGUGAUGAAGGCCUUAGGGUCGUAAAGCUCUUUCGCCAGGGAUGAUAAUGACAGUACCUGGUAAAGAAACCCCGGCUAACUCCGUGCCAGCAGCCGCGGUAAUACGGAGGGGGUUAGCGUUGUUCGGAAUUACUGGGCGUAAAGCGCGCGUAGGCGGACCAGAAAGUUAGGGGUGAAAUCCCGGGGCUCAACCCCGGAACUGCCUCUAAAACUCCUGGUCUAGAGUUCGAGAGAGGUGAGUGGAAUUCCGAGUGUAGAGGUGAAAUUCGUAGAUAUUCGGAGGAACACCAGUGGCGAAGGCGGCUCACUGGCUCGAUACUGACGCUNAGGUGCGAAAAGUGUGGGGGAGCAAACAGGAUUAGAUACCCUGGUAGUCCACACCCGUAANACGAUGGAAUGCC
This 765-nucleotide ribosomal RNA is filed under the name uncultured bacterium. RNAcentral's name for it is "bacterial SSU rRNA". It matches the Rfam family "Bacterial small subunit ribosomal RNA", at positions 9 to 818 of the family's 1533-position model. The record is from RNAcentral.